AGAUUAUUCAGACAACACAAGAUGUUUGCAUCACAAGAAAAUAGGAAAUUGCUUUCAGGGGCAAGGAACUGGUAUAGGCCUACAUCAAGGACAGACUGCAAACUAAAGUCAAUGGGACAAACUUAAGGAUUGGCGGUCUAAAACAGGAUGCUUGAGAGCCAUUGUGAUGAUGACAGAUUUUCAAUAGUCUUUCUAUAUUUUAAAAAUGCUGCACUAUAUUAUUUACAUAUUUUAUUUUUCAGUGCAUAUGUAUCAAGAUGUGAGUAUUUAGUUAUUUAUAAGAGUACUGCACAUUAAGGUGUCAG
Molecule: non-coding RNA, 305 nt
Organism: Pelobates cultripes (western spadefoot toad)
Lineage: Eukaryota; Metazoa; Chordata; Amphibia; Anura; Pelobatidae
Source: the annotation of a GenBank genome assembly